This is a small nucleolar RNA of Manis pentadactyla (Chinese pangolin), 135 nucleotides long. RefSeq annotates it as small nucleolar RNA SNORA31. NCBI's taxonomy places the organism in Eukaryota, Metazoa, Chordata, Mammalia, Pholidota, Manidae. The transcript has a single exon. The record is from RefSeq and is a predicted model, not a curated record.
ACGUAUCUAUUUGACAGACCUGAAGCAGUUACUGUCUGCUGCUGAGGUUCCCUCUACAGAGACAAGAAAAAAGCGUCCCCCCGCUUUCUGUCUGUCUGAAUUGUGGCAGCCCAGAAUGAAUAGGGAAAUACAGGG